Molecule: long non-coding RNA, 387 nt
Filed under: Setaria viridis
Lineage: Eukaryota; Viridiplantae; Streptophyta; Magnoliopsida; Poales; Poaceae
Description: long non-coding RNA (SVIR_LNC002994)
Source: RNAcentral
GCUCCACCGACGCUCGCAUCUUCGACGGCUAGCGCACAUCCGGAGCGAGGGUGGCUCGUAGGCGCUCGCAUCUCCAGCUAUCGAGCACGCCGGAGGCCAUGCCGUUGUGGCGCUCGUGAAGCUGAAACUAGCAUAGCGGGUAAGGUCAAAAGGAGGGCGUCCCAUUGCGAUUGCGAUGACCACGAAGCUCUUAUCCGAUCUUAACCCACCCCUCCCGAUGGGAAUAAAUCUGUGGGAAAUGAGGUCCGCAUUUUCCUUUCCCUAUCCCUUCUUAUUUCCUUUUCCCAUGAGACAAACUUGGAUAAGAUUUCCAUCCUUCCCCAUUUCUCAUUCCCUCCCUCCAUAUCCCACAAUCCAAAUGCCACCUAGGGACAAUUUUAUCCUGAG